This 4261-nucleotide long non-coding RNA is filed under the name Lynx pardinus (Iberian lynx). Lineage: Eukaryota; Metazoa; Chordata; Mammalia; Carnivora; Felidae. The record is from RNAcentral.
GAGAACUCCAGACUACUGAUGUAGAUGUGUGAGGGUGUCCCCACAGUUUGCCUCCGGGGACUCUUGGCCUGGAGUGACCUUCCUUUUUGGGGGUAGAUGAGCUUCCGGAAAGCCUGCCGUGCAGCCCUGAAACCUCGGAGCUGUGCCAGAUGGCUCUUGCCUCGGUGACGUUGAUGUCAUGAUGCCGCCAGCCUGGGGAGUGACGCGGCCAGAAACAGGAAGGUGCAGAGGCCCCUGGCACAGAGUAGGUGUGCCGUGAACACUGGCUGCCUAUAGCUGACAUCAGGACAGGCGACCCAGUGUGCCCGGGGCCACCGCCCGGCCCCCAGCCCCCAGCCACAGCCCUGCCGCUGAGACCUCGGGGCUUCCCUUUCCCCACCUCUCAGGUGAUGUAGUGAGGGGCAUGAGGACGGUGUGAAGCAGGAGGGUAGGAGUUGUGCCCGCUGGAACCCCCACGCCUCCGGACCUGCCCCUCUGCUCCGAGGGUGGACGGGUCCUGUUCAGGUAGGGGCCCAAAGGGGGAGGCACCGGGCUGGCUGGGAAAGUGAGGACGAGGAAGCAGCUGGGAAUAAGCCCUGGGAGGCUCCAUUGGGGUUUGGCCCCUUCCUGAGGUGUAGAAGAGGGGAGUGGAGGAGAACUGGGGAUGACCGUGUCAGGUCGCCCAUGGUGCGGGGAGGUGCUGAGGUGAUGGUCCAGGGGGUGAACCGUGGCAUCUCCAGCAGACCCCGCAGGGGCCCAAGGAGAGAAAUGCCAGAAUUGGCAAGGGACCCAGGCAGACAGGAGCUGCAGAUGGGGCACCAGCAGCAGUGAUGAGCUCAGGGGAAAUGGAGUGAAAGCCGGAAGCUUACAGCAGCGCCUACCUGGAGGGGCCUUGUGGCUGGGAUGGGGUCCUAGGGAGCACACAGGGCAUCAAGCACCAGGGCCCUGGGCCAGGAACCCGCUCCUGUGGUUCCUUACAGGAACCAGUAAGCCGAGCAGGAGGAGGCCAGAUCAGGAAGGGGCUUGAGGGUCUUCCAAGGUUGGAGUGGGCAAGGGUCCAGGGAGGAGGAGAGGCGGUAAAGCCAGACUGGAUGGUGACAUAACCCCGGGGGAGCAGCUGUGGCUGCUGCUGGAGGGAGCCGAGGGAACCCAAGAGGCGUCCUAGAGAAGAAUUCGGAAGGGAUGCGCCGGUGGGGGCAGACCCCGAGUGGUGCAGGGACUCGGGUGGACGCCCGCGCUGGCCCCGGCCUUCGCUCAGGAGGACACCAGCCUGCGGCAGCUGGCUCCGUUUUAUCUUCCAAGGUGGAAAUGGCUUUGCAGUUUAUGGCCAUUUCUAGGGUUGCCGGAUGUAGCAAAUAAAAGUACACAUGUUGUAUGGGACAUCUUCACACUAAAAAGUUACUUAUUUGAAAUUUGAAGUUUAUCUGGGUAUACCGUAUUUCCUCUAGCAAAUGUAACCAUAACAGGUAUAAAUAAUCCAGCUAACACGAAAAUAAAAAGUGAGAACUGUCUACAAUCCCACCCCAAAAGGGUAAUCUCGAAAGCAAUUCGAUGUGUAUCUUGCCCAGGUUUUUUUUUUUUUUUUUAAUGUUUAUUUUUGAGAGAGAGAGAGAGAGAGACCGGGCAUGAGCAGGGGAGGGGCAGAAAGAGAGAGGGAGACAGAAUCCGAAGCGGGCUCCAGGCUCCGAGCUGUCAGCACAGAGUCCGACGUGGGGCCCGAGCCCACAAACCGCGAGAUCGUGACCUGAGCCGAAGGCAGGCACUUAACUAACUGAGCCCCCCAGGUGCCCCUUGCCCAGGGUUUUCAUACAAGCUUGCAGAUCAAAAGAACAAAAAAGAUUUUGCUCUAUGUACUCUUCUCUAAUCUGAUUUCACUUAACGAAACACCUAUUUCCAUGUGAAAUCAGCCCAGCUGUGUCCAGCUCCCUGUCUGGAACCGUUCUCGGAGAAGCCGGCCUGCUCUGACACCGCGGUGGGUCCCUCCGGUCAUUUCAUCAGAAAACAUGCUUAGCAGUGGAAUUUUUUUAAUUGAAGAUUUUAUGGAGAUAGUUACAGACUCCUACGCGAUUCCAGGAAAUAAUGCUGAAGGACCCCUGGUACAGGUGAGCUAGACCUACCCAAUGGUAACUAACGUUCUUUAAAAGGAUAGCGGGAGAAUCACAGCCAGAAUAGUGACGCUGAUAUGGUUCACUGACUUUGUUCCAAUUUCCCCAGUUUUACUUGUCCUAAUGUAUGCAUCAAAUUCUGUACGUUUAUUUUUAUUUUUUUUAAUAUUUAUUUCUGAGAGACAGAGUGAGACAGAGCAUGAGCAGGGAAGGGACAGAGAGAGAGAGACAGAAUCUGAAGCCAGCUCCAGGCUCUGAGCUGUCAGCACAGAGCCCAACACGGGGCUCGAACUCAUGAACCGUGAGAUCAUGACCUGAGCCGAAGUUGGACGCUCAACCGACCGAGCCACCCAGGCACCUCUUACUUCCCCGUUUUAAAAGUUGUAUUUAGUUGGAUGUACAGAGAGAGAUGAGUCCACAUCAUCUACUCUUGAACCAGAAGUCCCUGGUGUUAUUUUUUCGUUUUACUUAUGUAACUAUUUCUUCAAUGUAUUUUUACAACCGCUUUUUUAAGAUAUAAUUCACAUACCAUACAAUUCACUCAUUUAAAAUGUACAAUUUAAAGGUUUGUAGUGUAUGUGUGGGGUUGUGAAACCCGCACCACUCAAUCUUAGAACACCAUCAUCCCCAAAGAAACCCCAUACCCAUUAAAAGUCAGUCCCCAUUUCUUCCUCCCCUGAGGCCCGACAACCACAGAUAUGCUUUCUGUGUCUAUAGAUUGGCCUAUCAUUGACAUUUCACAUAAAUGGAAUCAUUCAAUAUGUGGCCUGUGGGCAUCUUUCCUUUGCGUAAUGUUUUCAAGAUUCAUCCAUGUAAUUUCAGUACUUUGUUCCUUUGUUUGUGGACACAUAACAUUUUAUCUGUCUGUUCAUCAGUUGAUGGCCAUUUGGUUUAUUUUCACUUACUGACUAUCGUGAAUAACAUUGCUGUGAAUCUCCCUGUACAAGUUUCUGUGUGGACAUGUGUUCUCAUUUCUCUGGCGUGUAUGGCCAGGAGUGGAAUUUCUGGGUCAUAUGGUAACUCUCAGUUUAGCAUUUUGAGAAACUGUGUCCAACUGUCUUCCAAAGCGGAUGUACCUUUUUGCAUUUCCUCCAGCAACAUGUGAUGGUUAGUUUCCCCAUAUUCUCACCAACACUUGCUAUUAGUUGACUUUCUUUUUUAAAAUUUUUUACUUGGGAGAGAGAGAGAGAGAGAGAGAGAGAGAGCGAGAGCAUGUGUGAGCGGGGGAGAGGAGCAGAGGGAGAGAGAGAGAAUCCCAAGCAGGCUCCAUGGUCCCACGGCCAUGAAAUCAUGACCUGAGCUGGAACCAAGAGUUGGAUGCUUAACCAACCGAGCAAUCCAGGCGCCCCAUUAUCUGACUUUUUGAUUCCAGCCAUCCUAGUGGGUAUGAAGUGGUUUCUCUCUGUGGUUUUGAUUUGCAUGUCCCAAAAGACCAAUGAUGCUGAACAUUUUUUCAUUUGCUUAUCGGUCAUUUGUGUAUCUUCUUUGAAGAAGUGUCUAUUCAAGUUCUUUACCCAUUUUUAAUCUGGUUGUUUUUUUUUGUUUUGUUUUUUGUUUUUUUGUUUUUUUGGUUGUUGAGGACUUUGGCUUUUAUUUUGAGAGAGAUGCGGAGCCGCUGGAAAGUUCUAAGCACAGAAGUGGCAGUAUCACUUGUGCUGCUGUGUAGAGAAAAAGUACACAGUUUCACAGGCAAAACAGACACUAGUUAAGAUACUGAGAUAAUCCAGGUGUGAGAUAAUAGUGACUGGCCCUGGCAUAGUAACAGGAAGUCAUGACACAGGGCCGGUUCCAGACACAUUUUGAAGGGAGGGCCAACAAGAUUUGCUAAUGGGUCCGAUGUGCCCAGUAAGGCAAUGCCUCUCACGCAGGAGACGUGGGGCUACCCUUUACUGAGAAGGUGGAUUAGUAUCCUGUGGCUGCCACAAACUGGGUGACUUAAAAUAACAGAAAUGUAUUGUCUCGUAGAUUAGAAGCCAGCACUCCCUCUGAAACCUGCGGGGCGGGAUCCUCCCCGGCCUCUUCCGGCUUCCAGUGACUGUGAGUCUUGGCGUUCCUUGGGCUUACAGCUCCAUCUAUCCAGUUUCUGCCUCUGUCUACAUGGCCUUCUCAUGGCCUGGUUCCAAACUUCCCUCUUCCCAUUUUGACACCAGUCAUUGGAUAAGGACCCACCCCAGUGA